RNAcentral lists this ribosomal RNA (425 nucleotides) under uncultured bacterium. RNAcentral describes it as "bacterial SSU rRNA". It matches the Rfam family "Bacterial small subunit ribosomal RNA", at positions 354 to 796 of the family's 1533-position model. The record is from RNAcentral.
GUGGGGAAUAUUGGACAAUGGGGGAAACCCUGAUCCAGCAAUGCCGCGUGAGUGAUGAAGGCCUUAGGGUUGUAAAGCUCUUUUACCAGGGAUGAUAAUGACAGUACCUGGAGAAUAAGCUCCGGCUAACUCCGUGCCAGCAGCCGCGGUAAUACGGAGGGAGCUAGCGUUGUUCGGAAUUACUGGGCGUAAAGCGCACGUAGGCGGCUUUUUAAGUCAGGGGUGAAAUCCCGGGGCUCAACCCCGGAACUGCCUUUGAAACUGGAAAGCUAGAAUCCUGGAGAGGCGAGUGGAAUUCCGAGUGUAGAGGUGAAAUUCGUAGAUAUUCGGAAGAACACCAGUGGCGAAGGCGACUCGCUGGACAGGUAUUGACGCUGAGGUGCGAAAGCGUGGGGAGCAAACAGGAUUAGAAACCCUAGUAGUCC